ACACACCGCCCGUCAAGCCAUGGGAGCCGGGGGCGCCUGAAGUCCGGGACCGNGAGGACCGGCCUAGGGCGAAACUGGUAACUGGGGCUAAGUCGUAACAAGGUACC
This 107-nucleotide ribosomal RNA is filed under the name uncultured bacterium. RNAcentral describes it as "partial 16S ribosomal RNA". It matches the Rfam family "Bacterial small subunit ribosomal RNA", at positions 1385 to 1500 of the family's 1533-position model. The record is from RNAcentral.